AGACCCGAAACCCGGUGAUCUAGCCAUGGGCAGGUUGAAGGUUGGGUAACACUAACUGGAGGACCGAACCGACUAAUGUUGAAAAAUUAGCGGAUGACCUGUGGCUGGGGGUGAAAGGCCAAUCAAACCGGGAGAUAGCUGGUUCUCCCCGAAAGCUAUUUAGGUAGCGCCUCGUGAAUUCAUCUCCGGGGGUAGAGCACUGUUUCGGCUAGGGGGCCAUCCCGGCUUACCAACCCGAUGCAAACUGCGAAUACCGGAGAAUGUUAUCACGGGAGACACACGGCGGGUGCUAACGUCCGUCGUGAAGAGGGAAACAACCCAGACCGCCAGCUAAGGUCCCAAAGUCAUGGUUAAGUGGGAAACGAUGUGGGAAGGCCCAGACAGCCAGGAUGUUGGCUUAGAAGCAGCCAUCAUUUAAAGAAAGCGUAAUAGCUCACUGGUCGAGUCGGCCUGCGCGGAAGAUGUAACGGGGCUAAACCAUGCACCGAAGCUGCGGCAGCGACGCUUAUGCGUUGUUGGGUAGGGGAGCGUUCUGUAAGCCUGUGAAGGUGGCCUGUGAGGGUUGCUGGAGGUAUCAGAAGUGCGAAUGCUGACAUAAGUAACGAUAAAGCGGGUGAAAAGCCCGCUCGCCGGAAGACCAAGGGUUCCUGUCCAACGUUAAUCGGGGCAGGGUGAGUCGACCCCUAAGGCGAGGCCGAAAGGCGUAGUCGAUGGGAAACGGGUUAAUAUUCCCGUACUUGGUGUUACUGCGAAGGGGGGACGGAGAAGGCUAUGUUGGCCGGGCGACGGUUGUCCCGGUUUAAGCGUGUAGGCUGGUUUUCCAGGCAAAUCCGGAAAAUCAAGGCUGAGGCGUGACGACGAGGCACUACGGUGCUGAAGCAACAAAUGCCCUGCUUCCAGGAAAAGCCUCUAAGCAUCAGGUAACAUCAAAUCGUACCCCAAACCGACACAGGUGGUCAGGUAGAGAAUACCAAGGCGCUUGAGAGAACUCGGGUGAAGGAACUAGGCAAAAUGGUGC
Molecule: ribosomal RNA, 1018 nt
Filed under: Salmonella enterica subsp. enterica serovar Uganda
Lineage: Bacteria; Pseudomonadati; Pseudomonadota; Gammaproteobacteria; Enterobacterales; Enterobacteriaceae
Description: partial 23S ribosomal RNA
Rfam family: Bacterial large subunit ribosomal RNA
Source: RNAcentral